GAGGAAUAUUGGUCAAUGGACGCAAGUCUGAACCAGCCACGUCGCGUGAAGGAAGACGGCCCUACGGGUUGUAAACUUCUUUUAUACGGGAAUAAAGUGCCCCACGCGUGGCGUUUUGCACGUACCGUACGAAUAAGCCACGGCUAACUACGUGCCAGCAGCCGCGGUAAUACGUAGGUGGCAAGCGUUGUCCGGAUUUACUGGGUGUAAAGGGCGUGUAGCCGGGAAGGCAAGUCAGAUGUGAAAUCUGGAGGCUCAACCUCCAAACUGCAUUUGAAACUGCUUUUCUUGAGUGUCGGAGAGGUAAUCGGAAUUCCUUGUGUAGCGGUGAAAUGCGUAGAUAUAAGGAAGAACACCAGUGGCGAAGGCGGAUUACUGGACGAUAACUGACGGUGAGGCGCGAAAGCGUGGGGAGCAAACA
This 421-nucleotide ribosomal RNA is filed under the name uncultured Oscillibacter sp. RNAcentral describes it as "bacterial SSU rRNA". It matches the Rfam family "Bacterial small subunit ribosomal RNA", at positions 356 to 774 of the family's 1533-position model. The record is from RNAcentral. Lineage: Bacteria; Bacillati; Bacillota; Clostridia; Eubacteriales; Oscillospiraceae.